UACGAAGGGGGCUAGCGUUGCUCGGAAUCACUGGGCGUAAAGGGUGCGUAGGCGGGUUUUUAAGUCCGGGGUGAAAUCCUGGAGCUCAACUCCAGAACUGCCUUUGAUACUGAAGAUCUCGAGUCCGGGAGAGGUGAGUGGAACUGCGAGUGUAGAGGUGAAAUUCGUAGAUAUUCGCAAGAACACCAGUGGCGAAGGCGGCUCACUGGCCCGGUACUGACGCUGAGGUGCGAAAGCGUGGGGAGCAAACAGG
RNAcentral lists this ribosomal RNA (253 nucleotides) under uncultured bacterium. RNAcentral's name for it is "partial 16S ribosomal RNA". It matches the Rfam family "Bacterial small subunit ribosomal RNA", at positions 524 to 776 of the family's 1533-position model. The record is from RNAcentral.